Molecule: ribosomal RNA, 216 nt
Filed under: Glomeromycotina sp.
Lineage: Eukaryota; Fungi; Glomeromycota
Description: partial small subunit ribosomal RNA
Rfam family: Eukaryotic small subunit ribosomal RNA (bases 87-216)
Source: RNAcentral
GGGUCAGUAGGUUGGUCGUGCCACCGGUACGUACUGGUCUCACUGAUUCCUCCUUCCUGAAGUACCGUAAUGCCAUUCAUUGGGUGUUGCGGGGAAACAGGACUGUUACUUUGAAAAAAUUAGAGUGUUUAAAGCAAGCUAACGCUUGAAUACAUUAGCAUGGAAUAAUGAAAUAGGACGAUCGAUCCUAUUUUGUUGGUUUCUAGGAUUGACGUA